RNAcentral lists this long non-coding RNA (762 nucleotides) under Homo sapiens (human). Its description in RNAcentral is "novel transcript, antisense to CTNNBIP1". Lineage: Eukaryota; Metazoa; Chordata; Mammalia; Primates; Hominidae. The record is from RNAcentral.
AGCAGCAGACCUCAGGAGGGAGGAAGGAGCCAGGUCUCUGCACUGCUCCGGCUGCCCGAGCUCCCUUACAUCCCACCACAAACUCUGGAAGACUGCUCUGUGCAGGAAAGCAGAACUGGGGGCCAGCUUGCUUGCCUGUAAGCCCCACCAUGUCUUCCAAAAAAUCACCAGCACCUCAUCUUCCUGCAACUCCAGCGAUCGGCCAGAGGAAGGCUAUGUGCCCCUGGAGGCUGUGGGCAGUGCCAACAGUAUUAACACACACGGAGGGAGAAGGACCUUCUGCCUCAGUCCAGAAGCCGAGUGUGAGCACACGCUCAGGAACAGGCUCAUAGGGCCUAGCCAGAGCUGACCUUGGCAGGUACUUUUGCUCCCUUCUUGGUUAGCAGAGCAAGUGGCAUCGUGGACAACUGAUGGGAGGACCAAAAAGGGAUCUGAAAAGCUGGCCAAUGGCACCCAGUCUAAAGAGUCCCACUCUGGAUUCCUGCUCUCCCAGAGGGAACAGACUGAUUCCACCUCUUCGUUUCCACUGCCACUGCCCCGAUCCCUCAAGCCACCAUCAUCUCUUGCCAGGCAGCUGCAAUAGUCUGUCUCAUAACUGGUAUUCCUGCCUCCACCUUUGCUCCUUAGAAUCCAGUCUCUACACAGUGGCCAGAACAAUCUUUUGGAACAAAUCAGACUUUAUUCUUUCUCUGCUUAAAACCCUCCAAUGGCCUCUAACUGUUCUUGGAAUAAAAUCCAAACUCUUUAUUACGACCUACAAAA